This 399-nucleotide ribosomal RNA is filed under the name uncultured eukaryote. RNAcentral describes it as "SSU rRNA". It matches the Rfam family "Eukaryotic small subunit ribosomal RNA", at positions 587 to 990 of the family's 1831-position model. The record is from RNAcentral.
AGCUCCAAUAGCGUAUAUUAAAGUUGUUGCGGUUAAAAAGCUCGUAGUUGGAUUUCUGCUGGGGACGACCGGUCCGCCCUCUGGGUGAGUAUCUGGCUUGGCCUUAGCAUCCUCUUGGAGAACGUAGCUGCACUUGACUGUGUGGUGCGGAAUCCAGGACUUUUACUUUGAGGAAAUUAGAGUGUUUCAAGCAGGCUUCCGCCUUGAAUACAUUAGCAUGGAAUAAUAAGAUAGGACCUUGGUUCUAUUUUGUUGGUUUCUAGAACUGAGGUAAUGAUUAAUAGGGAUAGUUGGGGGCAUUUGUAUUAACGCGUCAGAGGUGGAAUUCUUGGAUUGCGUUACGACAAACUACUGCGAAAGCAUUUGCCAAGGAUGUUUUCAUCGAUCAAGAACGAAAGU